This 1868-nucleotide long non-coding RNA is filed under the name Anas platyrhynchos platyrhynchos (common mallard). Its description in RNAcentral is "lncRNA (ENSAPLG00000019449.1)". The record is from RNAcentral. Lineage: Eukaryota; Metazoa; Chordata; Aves; Anseriformes; Anatidae.
GUUGCUUACUGUCGGCUGUGCUUGGCAGCCUUCAAGUAGGCUUCGCUAUGGGCAGCAAGAAUCGGAGGAUGGGGACUGAGCCAAAAUGAAGUGGACAGGUUUUCUUCCCUUUUGCAUUGCACAUCUUGGACCAAACAUCCUUUAUCUUUGAAAAGUACUGAUAUGAAAUACACUCAUCACUAAUAAGGCUGAACAGAGCAAAAGAUGCAGGAUUUGUCAUGCUCCCUUUUGGCCGGCUUCUCUUCUCCAGGGCUUCACUGGAAUAUGAAGGCUGUGGCAGAACUGCUGUAAUUGGUGCACUCUUGAAAAUAUGAUGAUAUAAAUAACCAAAAUGAGCCUGAAGUGGAGGGGACGUCAGAGAUUUUUUGGUCUGCUCCUUGAGGUAUAACAUGAAACUCGGAGAUUUAACAAAAUCUUCUCUCCCACCCAUCACUGAUGGAGCCUCAGAAGUAACUGUUAAUAGCUGGAACAGUGCCUCAGCCAGCCCCUUUGGUGGCUCCAGAAUGGCUUUCCCUUGGUCUAGCCUGCCUUCUCUUACCUCUGCCAGCACGCCUGAUUUUAAAGUAAUCUUACAAGCUGAGGAGCUCAUGCGCGUGUCUGAACCUGGAGGAGGAAUUGCUUCAUCACUGGAGGGGAAGGAAAAGGCAUCAAGGUGCAAGGGCCGUCCCACCAACACAAGACUCCCUCCUUUGGCAAUCUCUCACACCAAACCUGCAGCCCUUCACCCACAGAGUUUGCAUAAGAGAGAAGCAAGAAUAAGAUGCUCAGCUCCCCUGUGCCCCAGGCUGGUGCCUAUCAGUGACGCAAAUCUUGUGUUUCCAUUCAGAAGGAAGGAAUUCUUGCCUGCAGGGAGAGGGAUGUAAUCAAGGUCCAUCCUAAGAAUAUUGAAUGCCUGCUCUCACUGUGACACCAGCACGGAAAGAAAGGAGAGAAGUGCCAUGCCCUGCAGGUGAAGAAAAGCAAGGUGGGACUGAGGAAGGCAGGUCCUACAGUCACAGGUGACCCCACAUUUAGGCACCUAAGCCUUAUGAGUAUCUCCAAACCAGAGUUUUGUUCUUGGGCACAAGCUGUGGGUUGGCACAAUUUCAAUUAAAGGAUAUUUUCAAACUGUCUGUCUUUCUUUUAUUCCCCCUCUCCUAUAGAAAUGACUUUAAAAGACUAGAAGGAUUUCUUCUGAGAGCCACAGGUUUUGAGGGCAUCAUGCUUCAGGAACCCUUUAUGGAAGAGUCUUAAAACUUUGCAGGGAAGUAGCAUCAUUGUUCCAAUUCACUUCUUUUCAUCAGUUUUGAAACAACUCUGGAGAGUAAAUGGCUGUCAGAACAGCUAUAUGCCAUAGGGGCCAUCAUCAAUCUGCAUGACCACUGCAAGUUUAAUAUGGUUUGCGUUCACAUGUUGGCAAAUGUGAUCACACAGAUUUUUAUUUUUAUUUUUUUUCCUUUUCCAGAAGCAGGGGAAAUAGUCAUUUAUUUCCUCCCACCUGACUCACAGGACAGCAGAGCAGCUGAUCCUGCUGGGUUUGAAGGUUCAUGCCUGGUGUCUCUGGUGCUUGGCACUCAGCAGGAUUUUGAGGCUUGCAGAAAUGACUUUGGUUUUGUUUUUAUAAUAGGCAGGAAUGCCGUAUAUGUUUUGCCUCUGCUGUGUUUUCUGCUUUUGCUUUUUGUUUAUUUGUUUAUGUUUUUGAUCUAUAGGAAAAUACUAGCCCCUCCUAUGCUUAUUUUAUAGGUUUAGUGAAUUUCUGAUGCUUUUAAAAGUAGAUAAAAUUCUCUUUAAUGGAGAAAACACUCUGAGAUAAUAUAAUGUCUCUCUCUUAAUUUUUCUUACCUGGAAACACACUUAUCUUCUCUACAGAGAAUGUAAUUAUACAAAGA